GUGGUAAAAAUGUAAAAUGGCAGCUUUUUGGAGAGAUACAGGCUGAAAAAUAAAAUUCUCUUUUAUCAUACUCAUUCUCACUGUGAGGACCAGCUUCAGCUUUGAUUUAUCUUUUUUGCCGUGGACCAGAGCUCUUAAUCUACAAAAGGAAGGCGUGUCUUACAACUGACUACUCAGUUCUGACCUGUAAUGUGAUG
RNAcentral lists this long non-coding RNA (197 nucleotides) under Amphimedon queenslandica. RNAcentral describes it as "uncharacterized LOC105314421, transcript variant X1". Lineage: Eukaryota; Metazoa; Porifera; Demospongiae; Haplosclerida; Niphatidae. The record is from RNAcentral.